Molecule: ribosomal RNA, 2921 nt
Filed under: Staphylococcus aureus
Lineage: Bacteria; Bacillati; Bacillota; Bacilli; Caryophanales; Staphylococcaceae
Description: bacterial LSU rRNA
Rfam family: Bacterial large subunit ribosomal RNA
Source: RNAcentral
UUAAGUUAUUAAGGGCGCACGGUGGAUGCCUUGGCACUAGAAGCCGAUGAAGGACGUUACUAACGACGAUAUGCUUUGGGGAGCUGUAAGUAAGCUUUGAUCCAGAGAUUUCCGAAUGGGGAAACCCAGCAUGAGUUAUGUCAUGUUAUCGAUAUGUGAAUACAUAGCAUAUCAGAAGGCACACCCGGAGAACUGAAACAUCUUAGUACCCGGAGGAAGAGAAAGAAAAUUCGAUUCCCUUAGUAGCGGCGAGCGAAACGGGAAGAGCCCAAACCAACAAGCUUGCUUGUUGGGGUUGUAGGACACUCUAUACGGAGUUACAAAGGACGACAUUAGACGAAUCAUCUGGAAAGAUGAAUCAAAGAAGGUAAUAAUCCUGUAGUCGAAAAUGUUGUCUCUCUUGAGUGGAUCCUGAGUACGACGGGGCACGUGAAAUUCCGUCGGAAUCUGGGAGGACCAUCUCCUAAGGCUAAAUACUCUCUAGUGACCGAUAGUGAACCAGUACCGUGAGGGAAAGGUGAAAAGCACCCCGGAAGGGGAGUGAAAUAGAACCUGAAACCGUGUGCUUACAAGUAGUCAGAGCCCGUUAAUGGGUGAUGGCGUGCCUUUUGUAGAAUGAACCGGCGAGUUACGAUUUGAUGCAAGGUUAAGCAGUAAAUGUGGAGCCGUAGCGAAAGCGAGUCUGAAUAGGGCGUUUAGUAUUUGGUCGUAGACCCGAAACCAGGUGAUCUACCCUUGGUCAGGUUGAAGUUCAGGUAACACUGAAUGGAGGACCGAACCGACUUACGUUGAAAAGUGAGCGGAUGAACUGAGGGUAGCGGAGAAAUUCCAAUCGAACCUGGAGAUAGCUGGUUCUCUCCGAAAUAGCUUUAGGGCUAGCCUCAAGUGAUGAUUAUUGGAGGUAGAGCACUGUUUGGACGAGGGGCCCCUCUCGGGUUACCGAAUUCAGACAAACUCCGAAUGCCAAUUAAUUUAACUUGGGAGUCAGAACAUGGGUGAUAAGGUCCGUGUUCGAAAGGGAAACAGCCCAGACCACCAGCUAAGGUCCCAAAAUAUAUGUUAAGUGGAAAAGGAUGUGGCGUUGCCCAGACAACUAGGAUGUUGGCUUAGAAGCAGCCAUCAUUUAAAGAGUGCGUAAUAGCUCACUAGUCGAGUGACACUGCGCCGAAAAUGUACCGGGGCUAAACAUAUUACCGAAGCUGUGGAUUGUCCUUUGGACAAUGGUAGGAGAGCGUUCUAAGGGCGUUGAAGCAUGAUCGUAAGGACAUGUGGAGCGCUUAGAAGUGAGAAUGCCGGUGUGAGUAGCGAAAGACGGGUGAGAAUCCCGUCCACCGAUUGACUAAGGUUUCCAGAGGAAGGCUCGUCCGCUCUGGGUUAGUCGGGUCCUAAGCUGAGGCCGACAGGCGUAGGCGAUGGAUAACAGGUUGAUAUUCCUGUACCACCUAUAAUCGUUUUAAUCGAUGGGGGGACGCAGUAGGAUAGGCGAAGCGUGCGAUUGGAUUGCACGUCUAAGCAGUAAGGCUGAGUAUUAGGCAAAUCCGGUACUCGUUAAGGCUGAGCUGUGAUGGGGAGAAGACAUUGUGUCUUCGAGUCGUUGAUUUCACACUGCCGAGAAAAGCCUCUAGAUAGAAAAUAGGUGCCCGUACCGCAAACCGACACAGGUAGUCAAGAUGAGAAUUCUAAGGUGAGCGAGCGAACUCUCGUUAAGGAACUCGGCAAAAUGACCCCGUAACUUCGGGAGAAGGGGUGCUCUUUAGGGUUAACGCCCAGAAGAGCCGCAGUGAAUAGGCCCAAGCGACUGUUUAUCAAAAACACAGGUCUCUGCUAAACCGUAAGGUGAUGUAUAGGGGCUGACGCCUGCCCGGUGCUGGAAGGUUAAGAGGAGUGGUUAGCUUCUGCGAAGCUACGAAUCGAAGCCCCAGUAAACGGCGGCCGUAACUAUAACGGUCCUAAGGUAGCGAAAUUCCUUGUCGGGUAAGUUCCGACCCGCACGAAAGGCGUAACGAUUUGGGCACUGUCUCAACGAGAGACUCGGUGAAAUCAUAGUACCUGUGAAGAUGCAGGUUACCCGCGACAGGACGGAAAGACCCCGUGGAGCUUUACUGUAGCCUGAUAUUGAAAUUCGGCACAGCUUGUACAGGAUAGGUAGGAGCCUUUGAAACGUGAGCGCUAGCUUACGUGGAGGCGCUGGUGGGAUACUACCCUAGCUGUGUUGGCUUUCUAACCCGCACCACUUAUCGUGGUGGGAGACAGUGUCAGGCGGGCAGUUUGACUGGGGCGGUCGCCUCCUAAAAGGUAACGGAGGCGCUCAAAGGUUCCCUCAGAAUGGUUGGAAAUCAUUCAUAGAGUGUAAAGGCAUAAGGGAGCUUGACUGCGAGACCUACAAGUCGAGCAGGGUCGAAAGACGGACUUAGUGAUCCGGUGGUUCCGCAUGGAAGGGCCAUCGCUCAACGGAUAAAAGCUACCCCGGGGAUAACAGGCUUAUCUCCCCCAAGAGUUCACAUCGACGGGGAGGUUUGGCACCUCGAUGUCGGCUCAUCGCAUCCUGGGGCUGUAGUCGGUCCCAAGGGUUGGGCUGUUCGCCCAUUAAAGCGGUACGCGAGCUGGGUUCAGAACGUCGUGAGACAGUUCGGUCCCUAUCCGUCGUGGGCGUAGGAAAUUUGAGAGGAGCUGUCCUUAGUACGAGAGGACCGGGAUGGACAUACCUCUGGUGUACCAGUUGUCGUGCCAACGGCAUAGCUGGGUAGCUAUGUGUGGACGGGAUAAGUGCUGAAAGCAUCUAAGCAUGAAGCCCCCCUCAAGAUGAGAUUUCCCAACUUCGGUUAUAAGAUCCCUCAAAGAUGAUGAGGUUAAUAGGUUCGAGGUGGAAGCAUGGUGACAUGUGGAGCUGACGAAUACUAAUCGAUCGAAGACUUAAUCAA